This is a non-coding RNA of Myotis davidii, 75 nucleotides long. The record is from Rfam. Lineage: Eukaryota; Metazoa; Chordata; Mammalia; Chiroptera; Vespertilionidae.
GGUGGUUCUUGGGCAGCGCACCCUGGAAUUGGACUCCUUCCUCUCUGGUUCCAGGUGUAUCACCCAAGAACCACA